UACGUAGGGUGCGAGCGUUGUCCGGAAUUAUUGGGCGUAAAGAGCUCGUAGGCGGUUUGUCACGUCUGCUGUGAAAUCCCGAGGCUCAACCUCGGGCCUGCAGUGGGUACGGGCAGACUGGAGUGCGGUAGGGGAGAAUGGAAUUCCUGGUGUAGCGGUGGAAUGCGCAGAUAUCAGGAGGAACACCGAUGGCGAAGGCAGUUCUCUGGGCCGUAACUGACGCUGAGAAGCGAAAGCAUGGGGAGCGAACAGG
RNAcentral lists this ribosomal RNA (253 nucleotides) under uncultured bacterium. Its description in RNAcentral is "partial 16S ribosomal RNA". It matches the Rfam family "Bacterial small subunit ribosomal RNA", at positions 524 to 776 of the family's 1533-position model. The record is from RNAcentral.